RNAcentral lists this long non-coding RNA (1263 nucleotides) under Androctonus crassicauda. Lineage: Eukaryota; Metazoa; Arthropoda; Arachnida; Scorpiones; Buthidae. The record is from RNAcentral.
UAAUUUAAAUAUUUACAAUUUAAUCUGCAUUAUAUUUAAUAGAUAUUUCUUUGGAUAAUUGGAAAUCGUAAUGUCCUGCGAACUUUUUCAAUAUCAUCUUUCUCAAUACCCGUUGUAUUAAUAUUAAUAAUGCGAAUAUCGCAUGAAAUCAAUUUUCCCUUCUACUCCUAUCUUCAAAACGUGGUAGAUCCAUAAUGACCGAUGUCAUCAACAUAACCAAGAAGCAUUAUGUCCUUACAUAUAUCCUCAUUCCUGGAGUCGUUCGACAAUUGGCCCAGCUACCAAGCUCCUCCCAUACCGAAUUGAAUCCGCAACCAAUAGACGAUGUGCAAGGUGAUUUUAGUCGGGAGAUGGUGAUGGCCCGAAAUUGUAAAAUCAGUGCAGCAGUGGGUGUCCCGUAGCCAGCUACGGGCUGCGAUCCUCCUUAUAAGUCUUCCAUAAUGGCCUUCUUGGGAACCAAACGGUUCUGCGGCAUCCACAUUCAAGUCACUCAUUCGUUGUAUGCUCGUCGUCAUUGUUCGGAAAAUUGUUGCUCCGUUUGACUUCUUCAAUGACUACCAGUGUCUCUCCACUAGCCAGUCAUCCCGCAUCAUCUAAGCAGCCAUCGCACCAUCCACCAUCAUGGCUUGUCCUCUCGAUCAUGUUGGUCAUCUACGCAUUUAUCAUUUCCAGUUGAUGUGGUUCCCGGCCAGUUGAACCAUAAGGCAAUAGGCGUCAAAAGCCUCGACUAAGUCUUCCAUUUAUUGGGCCUUAAUAUAAGUACUGGGGUUAAGUCAUAACAACAUCCUGGUGCCUUGUUAGGUUAAUAGACCUCAUACCUCAGAAACCAAGUCUUCCAGAGAUUUCUCUCGUCAUUUUUUUGUCAAUAACUUUUUAGUAUUAAAUAGUUAUGUAUAGUGACCGUAGUUCAGGUGGUCGCGAUCGUCAAUUAGACGAUCCCGUCGAUGGUAAGGUGAUUUUUGAAAGAUUGUGGAAGGGAACUUUUCGUGCACUGAUUGCUUCUAGAAUGGUAUAUAAUAAAAGUAGAUCUACUCUUCGAAGUGUUGUAAGGUAAGCACUUAAAAUAUUUUAAUUCAGAGCCCAUUAAGUCGUUUUUGUUUUAGAUAUAUCGUGUAUGUCUACUUUAGAUCCGAUGUGUAUUAGCUACGAUUAACGUAUAGGCCUACAACAAAAAGCACUUGAUGCGUUUUCAAUUUAUUAAUUUCACAGGCUAAUUGAUUCUGUCUGCAAUACCUUCAAACGACGCGCCUGUAUAUUAAAUGU